This 254-nucleotide ribosomal RNA is filed under the name uncultured bacterium. Its description in RNAcentral is "partial 16S ribosomal RNA". It matches the Rfam family "Bacterial small subunit ribosomal RNA", at positions 524 to 776 of the family's 1533-position model. The record is from RNAcentral.
UACGGAGGGGGCAAGCGUUAUUCGGAUUUACUGGGCGUAAAGGGUGCGUAGGCGGCUGUGCAAGUCCGAUGUGAAAUCUUCACCGCUCAACGGGAAGAGGUCAUUGGAAACUGCGCAGCUCGAGUAUGGUAGAGGCGAGCGGAAUUCCUGGUGUAGCGGUGGAAUGUGUAGAUAUCAGGAAGAACACCCGUGGCGAAGGCGGCUCGCUGGGCCAUCACUGACGCUGAGGCACGAAAGCGUGGGGAGCAAACGGG